Molecule: ribosomal RNA, 807 nt
Filed under: uncultured Pelagibacteraceae bacterium
Lineage: Bacteria; Pseudomonadati; Pseudomonadota; Alphaproteobacteria; Candidatus Pelagibacterales; Candidatus Pelagibacteraceae
Description: bacterial SSU rRNA
Rfam family: Bacterial small subunit ribosomal RNA
Source: RNAcentral
GCUGGCGGCACGCCUAAUACAUGCAAGUCGAACGAAGUAGCAAUACUUAGUGGCAGACGGGUGAGUAAUAUGUAGGUAUCUUCCCAUUGGUGAGGAAUAACACGAGGAAACUUGUGCUAAUACCUCAUAAGUCUUUACGGAGAAAGCUUUAUGCGCCGAUGGAUGAGCCUGCACUUGAUUAGUUUGUUGGUAGGGUAAUGGCCUACCAAGACAAUGAUCAAUAGCUGAUUUGAGAGGAUGAUCAGCCACAUUGGGACUGAGACACGGCCCAAACUCCUACGGGAGGCAGCAGUAGGGAAUCUUGCACAAUGGGGGAAACCCUGAUGCAGCGAUGCCGCGUGAGUGAAGAAGGCCUUUGGGUUGUAAAGCUCUUUCGUCGGGGAAGAAAAUGACUGUACCCGAAUAAGAAGGUCCGGCUAACUUCGUGCCAGCAGCCGCGGUAAUACGAAGGGACCUAGCGUAGUUCGGAAUUACUGGGCUUAAAGAGUUCGUAGGUGGUUAAAAAAGUUGGUGGUGAAAUCCCAGAGCUUAACUCUGGAACUGCCAUCAAAACUUUUUAGCUAGAGUAUGAUAGAGGAAAGCAGAAUUUCUAGUGUAGAGGUGAAAUUCGUAGAUAUUAGAAAGAAUACCGAUUGCGAAGGCAGCUUUCUGGAUCAUUACUGACACUGAGGAACGAAAGCAUGGGUAGCGAAGAGGAUUAGAUACCCUCGUAGUCCAUGCCGUAAACGAUGUGUGUUAGACGUUGGAAAUUUAUUUUCUGUGUCGCAGCGAAAGCAAUAAACACACCGCCUGGGGAGUACGACCGCA